AGUCUCUGGAUAUAGACCCGAAACCGAGUGAUCUAGCCAUGGGCAGGUUGAAGAUUGAGUAACAUCAAUUGGAGGACCGAACCGACUAAUGUUGAAAAAUUAGCGGAUGACUUGUGGCUAGGGGUGAAAGGCCAAUCAAACUCGGAGAUAGCUGGUUCUCCCCGAAAGCUAUUUAGGUAGCGCCUCGGACGAAUACUACUGGGGGUAGAGCACUGUUAAGGCUAGGGGGUCAUCCCGACUUACCAACCCUUUGCAAACUCCGAAUACCAGUAAGUACUAUCCGGGAGACACACGGCGGGUGCUAACGUCCGUCGUGGAGAGGGAAACAACCCAGACCGCCAGCUAAGGUCCCAAAUUACUACUAAGUGGGAAACGAUGUGGGAAGGCUCAGACAGCCAGGAUGUUGGCUUAGAAGCAGCCAUCAUUUAAAGAAAGCGUAAUAGCUCACUGGUCGAGUCGGCCUGCGCGGAAGAUGUAACGGGGCUAAGUAGUAAACCGAAGCUGCGGCUGCAAUCGUAAGAUUGUGGGGUAGGGGAGCGUUCUGUAAGCCGUUGAAGGUGUGUUGUAAAGCAUGCUGGAGGUAUCAGAAGUGCGAAUGCUGACAUGAGUAACGAUAAUGGGGGUGAAAAACCCCCACGCCGGAAGACCAAGGGUUCCUGUCCAACGUUAAUCGGGGCAGGGUAAGUCGACCCCUAAGGCGAGGCUGAAAAGCGUAGUCGAUGGGAAACGGGUUAAUAUUCCCGUACUGCUUAUAAUUGCGAUGGGGGGACGGAGAAGGCUAGGUGGGCCUGGCGACGGUUGUCCAGGUUCAAGUGCGUAGGCUAAGAGACUAGGUAAAUCCGGUUUCUUGUUAGGCUGAGACACGACGUCGAGCUACUACGGUAGUGAAGUCAUUGAUGCCAUGCUUCCAGGAAAAGCCUCUAAGCUUCAGAUUAUAAGCAAUCGUACCCCAAACCGACACAGGUGGUCGGGUAGAGAAUACCAAGGCGCUUGAGAGAACUCGGGUGAAGGAACUAGGCAAAAUGGUACCGUAACUUCGGGAGAAGGUACGCUCUUGGCGGUGAAGUCCCUAGCGGAUGGAGCUACUGAGAGUCGCAGAUACCAGGUGGCUGCAACUGUUUAUUAAAAACACAGCACUGUGCAAAAUCGUAAGAUGACGUAUACGGUGUGACGCCUGCCCGGUGCCGGAAGGUUAAUUGAUGGGGUUAGACUUCGGUCGAAGCUCUUGAUCGAAGCCCCGGUAAACGGCGGCCGUAACUAUAACGGUCCUAAGGUAGCGAAAUUCCUUGUCGGGUAAGUUCCGACCUGCACGAAUGGCGUAAUGAUGGCCACGCUGUCUCCACCCGAGACUCAGUGAAAUUGAAAUCGCUGUGAAGAUGCAGUGUACCCGCGGCUAGACGGAAAGACCCCGUGAACCUUUACUACAGCUUGGCACUGAACAUUGAACCUACAUGUGUAGGAUAGGUGGGAGACUUAGAAGCGCAGUCGCUAGAUUGCGUGGAGUCGUCCUUGAAAUACCACCCUUGUAGUUUUGAUGUUCUAACGUUGGCCCCUAAUCGGGGUUGCGGACAGUGCCUGGUGGGUAGUUUGACUGGGGCGGUCUCCUCCCAAAGAGUAACGGAGGAGCACGAAGGUGGGCUAAACACGGUUGGACAUCGUGUGGUUAGUGCAAUGGCAUAAGCCCGCUUAACUGCGAGAAUGACAAUUCGAGCAGGUACGAAAGUAGGUCAUAGUGAUCCGGUGGUUCUGAAUGGAAGGGCCAUCGCUCAACGGAUAAAAGGUACUCCGGGGAUAACAGGCUGAUACCGCCCAAGAGUUCAUAUCGACGGCGGUGUUUGGCACCUCGAUGUCGGCUCAUCACAUCCUGGGGCUGAAGUCGGUCCCAAGGGUAUGGCUGUUCGCCAUUUAAAGUGGUACGCGAGCUGGGUUUAGAACGUCGUGAGACAGUUCGGUCCCUAUCUGCCGUGGGCGUUGGAAGAUUGAAGGGGGCUGCUCCUAGUACGAGAGGACCGGAGUGGACGAACCUCUGGUGUUCGGGUUGUUACGCCAGUAGCAUUGCCCGGUAGCUAAGUUCGGAAUCGAUAACCGCUGAAAGCAUCUAAGCGGGAAGCGAGCCCUGAGAUGAGUCUUCCCUGGCACUUUAAGUGUCCUAAAGGGUUGUUCGAGACUAGAACGUUGAUAGGUUGGGUGUGUAAGCGCUGCGAGGCGUUGAGCUAACCAAUACUAAUUGCCCGUGAGGCUUAACCAU
RNAcentral lists this ribosomal RNA (2248 nucleotides) under Vibrio aestuarianus. RNAcentral's name for it is "partial 23S ribosomal RNA". It matches the Rfam family "Bacterial large subunit ribosomal RNA", at positions 698 to 2925 of the family's 2925-position model. The record is from RNAcentral. Lineage: Bacteria; Pseudomonadati; Pseudomonadota; Gammaproteobacteria; Vibrionales; Vibrionaceae.